Molecule: ribosomal RNA, 450 nt
Filed under: bacterium enrichment culture DGGE gel band A10
Lineage: Bacteria
Description: bacterial SSU rRNA
Rfam family: Bacterial small subunit ribosomal RNA
Source: RNAcentral
CUGGCGGCGUGCCUAACACAUGCAAGUCGAACGAGUUGUUUAUAGUAGCAAUAUUGUGAACAGCAAGUGGCGAACGGGUGAGUAACAAGUAGAUAAUUUGCCUUUCAGACGGGGACAAAUCAGGGAAACUUGUGCUAAUACCCGAUGAGACUACGGGAGGGGACUUUUGUAGCCAAAGGUGGGGGCAACCUCACGCUGAAAGAUGAGUCUGCGUCCUAUCAGCUGGUUGGUGGGGUAAAAGCCUACCAAGGCGAAGACGGGUAGCCGGCCUGAGAGGGUGAACGGCCACACUGGGACUGAGACACGGCCCAGACUCCUACGGGAGGCAGCAGUGAGGAAUUUUCCGCAAUGGGCGCAAGCCUGACGGAGCGACGCCGCGUGAGGGAUGACGGCCUUCGGGUUGUAAACCUCUUUUAUUAGGGAAAAAGGCAUAUGUGCUAAUACCACGUA